RNAcentral lists this ribosomal RNA (1967 nucleotides) under Bacteroides fragilis. RNAcentral describes it as "bacterial LSU rRNA". It matches the Rfam family "Bacterial large subunit ribosomal RNA", at positions 1 to 1982 of the family's 2925-position model. The record is from RNAcentral. Lineage: Bacteria; Pseudomonadati; Bacteroidota; Bacteroidia; Bacteroidales; Bacteroidaceae.
GAAAGUAAAUAAGGGCGCAUGGCGGAUGCCUUGGCUCUCGGAGGCGAUGAAGGACGUGAUAAGCUGCGAUAAGCUUCGGGUAGGUGCAAAUGACCUUUGAUCCGAAGAUUUCCGAAUGGGACAACCCGGCAUUCUGAAGGAAUGUCAUCCAACUUGGUUGGAGGCUAACGCAGGGAACUGAAACAUCUUAGUACCUGCAGGAAAAGAAAAUAAAUAAUGAUUCCCCUAGUAGUGGCGAGCGAACGGGGAUUAGCCCAAACCACCCAUGUUACGGCAUGUGUGGGGUUGUAGGACCACGCUCUCGCAAGACAGUUAUUGAGAAGAAACGACUGGAAAGUCGUGCCAUAGACGGUGAUAGCCCGGUAUUCUAAGGUAACCGAAGCGUAGUGGUAUCCUGAGUAGCGCGGAGCACGAGGAAUUCUGCGUGAAUCAGCCGGGACCAUCCGGUAAGGCUAAAUACUCCCGAGAGACCGAUAGCGAACCAGUACUGUGAAGGAAAGGUGAAAAGCACUUCGAAUAGAAGAGUGAAAUAGUCCCUGAAACCAUGCGCCUACAAGCGGUCGGAGCAGCGUAAGUUGUGACGGCGUGCCUUUUGCAUAAUGAACCUACGAGUUACUUUUUCCGGCAAGGUUAAGCAUCUUGAGAUGUGGAUCCGAAGCGAAAGCGAGUCUGAACAGGGCGGAUAGUCGGAAGGAGUAGACGCGAAACCAAGUGAUCUACCCUUGGGCAGGUUGAAGGUUAGGUAACACUAACUGGAGGACCGAACCGAUAAGCGUUGAAAAGCUUCCGGAUGACCUGAGGGUGGGGGUGAAAGGCUAAUCAAACUUGGAGAUAGCUCGUACUCCCCGAAAUGCAUUUAGGUGCAGCCUUGAGAGUUACUAAUGUGAGGUAGAGCGACUGAUAAGAUGCGAGGGCUUCACCGCCUAUCAAGUCUUGAUAAACUCCGAAUGCGCAUUAGUUCUAUCUCAGGAGUGAGGGCAUGGGUGCUAAGGUCCAUGUCCUAAAGGAGAAGAAUCCAGACCAUCAGCUAAGGUCCCCAAAUAAACACUAAGUUGAACUAACGAAGUCAGAUUGCUAAGACAGCUAGGAUGUUGGCUUGGAAGCAGCCAUUCAUUUAAAGAGUGCGUAACAGCUCACUAGUCGAGGAGUUUGGCGUGGAUAAUAAUCGGGCAUAAGUGUUUUACCGAAGCUAUGGGAUCCUAAUGGAUCGGUAGGGGAGCAUUCCACUCAGCGUUGAAGGCGAAGCGUGAGCUUUACUGGAGCGUGUGGAAAAGCAAAUGUAGGUAUAAGUAACGAUAAAGGGGGUGAGAAACCCCCUCGCCGCAAGACUAAGGUUUCCUGAUCAACGCUAAUCGGAUCAGGGUUAGUCGGGUCCUAAGGCUCAGCCGAACGGUGAGGCCGAUGGCAGAACAGGUUAAUAUUCCUGUACUACCUGUAGGAGUGAUGUGGAGACGGAGGAGUGACAACGCCGCGGACUGACGGAAUAGUCCGUUAAAGGGUGUAGAUGUUGAUUAUCCCAGGCAAAUCCGGGAUAAGAGUCGAACCUGACAGUAUACCAAUUUCCCCGGAAAACGGUAAUAGUGCGUGUAAACAUACUCCCAAGAAAAUCCGCUAAACUUAAUCUUAUAGGUACCCGUACCGUAAACGGACACACGUAGUCGGGUUGAAUAUACUCAGGCGCUUGAGUGAAUCACGGUUAAGGAACUAGGCAAAUUGACCCUGUAACUUCGGGAUAAAGGGUCCCUACCCGGUGACGGGAGGGCGCAGAGAAUAGGUCCAGGCAACUGUUUAACAAAAACACAGGGCUGUGCAAAAUUGAAAGAUCACGUAUACAGCCUGACACCUGCCCGGUGCUGGAAGGUUAAGAGGAGAUGUCAUCGCAAGAGAAGCAUUGAAUUGAAGCCCCAGUAAACGGCGGCCGUAACUAUAACGGUCCUAAGGUAGCGAAAUUCCUUGUCGGGUAAGUU